UACGUAGGGUGCAAGCGUUGUCCGGAAUUAUUGGGCGUAAAGAGCUCGUAGGCGGUUUGUUGCGUCGGCUGUGAAAUCCCGAGGCUCAACCUCGGGUCUGCAGUCGAUACGAGCAAACUAGAGUGUUGCAGGGGAGACUGGAAUUCCUGGUGUAGCGGUGAAAUGCGCAGAUAUCAGGAGGAACACCGGUGGCGAAGGCGGGUCUCUGGGCAACAACUGACGCUGAGGAGCGAAAGCGUGGAGAGCGAACAGG
This 253-nucleotide ribosomal RNA is filed under the name uncultured bacterium. RNAcentral's name for it is "partial 16S ribosomal RNA". It matches the Rfam family "Bacterial small subunit ribosomal RNA", at positions 524 to 776 of the family's 1533-position model. The record is from RNAcentral.